RNAcentral lists this long non-coding RNA (644 nucleotides) under Bos indicus x Bos taurus (hybrid cattle). Its description in RNAcentral is "lncRNA (ENSBIXG00005001657.1)". Lineage: Eukaryota; Metazoa; Chordata; Mammalia; Artiodactyla; Bovidae. The record is from RNAcentral.
AGAGAUUCCUGCACCAUGAUUAACAGAUCCAACCAGCCUCGUAGUUCACCUCAGCAAAAUGGGGGAGUGAGGAUUUUUGUCUUUUUUUCUGUCCAAAUGGUGCAACAAGAAUGUUCCUCAGGAAUCUCUGUCUUGAGUAAUAAACUCCCUUCUUUUGAAAUCCCAGGCCUUGUGCCCAGAGUAGACAGAUUCCCUAAUAAAGAUGGAAGCGUCAACUCUGAAGCAAGGAUACUUGGUAAAAUGAUUUUAAAACUGACAAGAAAAAGCAGCUCGAAGUGGCCCAGCAAGUUCAGAGAAAGUCCGCGCUGGCGGGACGCACGGAGGCGGUGUGAUGAGCUGUGCGCUGCUGACACCACGCUGAGUGAACAGAGGAAGGCUCUUGCUGUGGGUCAAGACAGGCUGGAGCAGAAGCCUUGAAAGCAGAUAGGAAACCAACGCAGUGGUCUUUCGUGAUUGCUGGGAAACUGAAGUAAAAUACGGAAAGCUGACAGCAAGAGGGAAUACUUCUCCCCAGCCUGAGCCUUGUUGCACUUAAGGAGGUCCUCUCUUUCUUCCCUUCUUCAACAAUAAGGUAUUGCAUAUCUCUUUCCUUUCUAUUUCAGCAAUUAAACUUAUGUACAGCAAUGUCCGUAUCUUUAGCUGGG